GCAUGGCUUUGGAUUUCUGGUGGGUCUGAUUCUGUAGAUCCANUCAUAGUGUACUCCAUGCUAAAGCAAACUGCUGCCCUCAGCCUUAGGCCAGUGCUGCUCUUUGGAGAACUGGCUGCUGAAAUGCGUAGAACAUCU
This 138-nucleotide small nucleolar RNA is filed under the name Salvator merianae (Argentine black and white tegu). RNAcentral's name for it is "Small nucleolar RNA SNORA42/SNORA80 family (ENSSMRG00000019132.1)". The record is from RNAcentral. Lineage: Eukaryota; Metazoa; Chordata; Lepidosauria; Squamata; Teiidae.